UGUGUGUGUCAGCUACAGUUCAGGCUCUAUUUAGGCUUAGUUGGUGCUAGCUCGCUUUUGUGUGCCUGUUUUGCCCUUGUCUCUCCGCCUCUGUGUCUAUUUGUGUCCCCUGUGGGUAGGUUCAGCUUUUGGAGGAACGCCACUUGAUCGUCCGCAGCGGUUAGGGUGUACAUCUGGUCUCCUCUUUGGACUUGCAGUGAGCUGUCUGCUCCCCAGUGGUAACGUACUGCCGCCUCCCUGAGCUUUUUGGCAGUCAGUGUGAGCUGCCUCCGCACUACCAGCACUGCAAAGGGGAUGUCUCCAUAGAUAGCCACUGUGUGACACUCAAAUCAGAUGUCGGGUAAGCCACAUCUCUAGUCACGGCUAUGAUGUUCCUAGGAGCAUCGUCUGGGGCAGCUACAGCCUUCCUGAUCCGGAAUGCAGAGUGUAUAGUUCCCGGGGUCUGCGCUGCCUUUGAUGCCCAUUGUGGUAAGUAGUCUCUGUAUAUGGGGCAACAGUUCUUCCCCGCCGACACGUUCCGGGAUGCCUCGGAGGCGGAUGUUUCUCCUGUGUCUUGCCUCCAGGGUUGUGAUGGUCCGGUUCAGCUGUUGGACAACUUCUGUCAUUUGGGCUUGAGUGGACUGCUGGGUGCAUUCUCUGUCACCCUCCUUGACUUCCAGUGCUGUAACCCGAUGUUGGAGGGCCCCCAUCUCCUUGCGGGUUUCUCGGAGGUCGGCUUUCCAGACCUCCCUCAUUUCUGUCAGUAAGUCUCUGAUGUCACUUUUUUGUCACAGGGGACAAGUCCUCGUCUCACUCAGAGUCUCUAUAUUGGGCCUCCGCUGCUGGUGAGGUAAGGCUUUCCCUGUCAUCCUCGGAGCUCACAGAGGCCUCCUCCUCACUAUGCGCCUCCGGCCAUUUUGGUUUGGGCUAGCGGUGCAGGCCUUUCAAACACAAGCCGAAUGUCGGCUAAUUUAGGCGUCUCUGGCGGGUGGAAUUUUUUAUUCUUUUGCCCCAUUUGGUCUCUUAGGGGGGAUAGUGUGGUUUUUGUCUCCGAUAUGGAGCCGAGUCACUCUUUUGUGCCAUUUUUGUCUCGGUUUGGAACGGAGCUCCACAUGCACACGUCUAGUCCGGUCGGCCACGCCCCCCAAACUCCCCUUUUCAAGUGAGUUUGCCACGAGUUCUUGGAGGGGACUACUUGCCAACCUUUUACCCUGUGACUAUGGCCCCUGCAAUAAAACUGGCUUAUAUACUUCAAACAGAGACCACUCUGGAGCUUAACACCUCUUAACAACUUGGAACGUUUCUCACCCAGAUCAGGGGAUGUAUUUAUGGGGAUAUGUUGUAUUUUGGGGUACUUAUUGGACUUUAUAAAAAUUUGUUUUUUAUGUCUAGGGAUAAUUGUGAUUGUAUUAUCUACCUUAAUUGUGUACUGUAUGUGGGAGUGUCGUUCAUUGUUACAUUGUUUUGAUUGGCUUGUAUACUUUGUGUCCUGUGCCCAACAAGGUACACCUAGGCGUCAACCUUGUUGGGAAACUUGUAUAAAAGGCAGUGUGCCUACAUUAAACUGCUAUUCCAGCUCACACUCCAAAACUGUG
RNAcentral lists this long non-coding RNA (1574 nucleotides) under Pelobates cultripes (western spadefoot toad). The record is from RNAcentral. Lineage: Eukaryota; Metazoa; Chordata; Amphibia; Anura; Pelobatidae.